AGCACGGACCAAGGAGUCCAACAUGUGCGCGAGUCUAAGGGUUUAUUAAACCUGGAGGCGAAAUGAAAGUGAGACCCUUUAUGGGACAGGCCGAUCCCUUGUCAGGAAGAAUGGCUGUGCAUGGUUGUAGGUGCAUGCUUGCGACUGUUUGUGCAGUUUAUUUUUCUUGGCUGUCUAGCUGUCCUUCGGGAUGGUUGGAUUUUGGGCGCAGGCCGAGGACUUGCCAUAGUGCGGCGCGGGCAACGGGUUGCUUUCGGGCUUCCUUAUCCCGAUGUCCGCCGGCAAGUACCUGAGAGCGCAGCCGUUGGGACCCGAAAGAUGGUGAACUAUGCCUGGCGAGGACGAAGCCAGAGGAAACUCUGGUGGAGGUCCGAAGCAGUUCUGACGUGCAAAUCGAUUGUCAGAGCUGGGUAUAGGGGCGAAAGACUAAUCGAACCAUCUAGUACG
This 447-nucleotide ribosomal RNA is filed under the name Macrobrachium fukienense. RNAcentral's name for it is "eukaryotic LSU rRNA". It matches the Rfam family "Eukaryotic large subunit ribosomal RNA", at positions 658 to 950 of the family's 3401-position model. The record is from RNAcentral. Lineage: Eukaryota; Metazoa; Arthropoda; Malacostraca; Decapoda; Palaemonidae.